RNAcentral lists this ribosomal RNA (3006 nucleotides) under Salmonella enterica. Its description in RNAcentral is "23S ribosomal RNA". It matches the Rfam family "Bacterial large subunit ribosomal RNA". Lineage: Bacteria; Pseudomonadati; Pseudomonadota; Gammaproteobacteria; Enterobacterales; Enterobacteriaceae. The record is from RNAcentral.
GGUUAAGCGACUAAGCGUACACGGUGGAUGCCCUGGCAGUCAGAGGCGAUGAAGGACGUGCUAAUCUGCGAUAAGCGCCGGUAAGGUGAUAUGAACCGUUAUAACCGGCGAUUUCCGAAUGGGGAAACCCAGUGUGACUCGUCACACUAUCAUUAACUGAAUCCAUAGGUUAAUGAGGCGAACCGGGGGAACUGAAACAUCUAAGUACCCCGAGGAAAAGAAAUCAACCGAGAUUCCCCCAGUAGCGGCGAGCGAACGGGGAUGAGCCCAGAGCCUGAAUCAGCAUGUGUGUUAGUGGAAGCGUCUGGAAAGGCGCGCGAUACAGGGUGACAGCCCCGUACACAAAAGCGCAUAUGCUGUGAGCUCGAUGAGUAGGGCGGGACACGUGGUAUCCUGUCUGAAUAUGGGGGGACCAUCCUCCAAGGCUAAAUACUCCUGACUGACCGAUAGUGAACAAGUACCGUGAGGGAAAGGCGAAAAGAACCCCGGCGAGGGGAGUGAAAAAGAACCUGAAACCGUGUACGUACAAGCAGUGGGAGCCCCACCACUAAGCCAGUGGUGAACUCCACAUACGCAUCCUUUGCUGAGGAUGCGGUUAACGGAGCGAAAGCGACGUUCAACCGCAAAAGAAGCAGAGGGGGCUUAGUGGUGGGGUGACUGCGUACCUUUUGUAUAAUGGGUCAGCGACUUAUAUUCUGUAGCAAGGUUAACCGAAUAGGGGAGCCGGAGGGAAACCGAGUCUUAAUUGGGCGUUAAGUUGCAGGGUAUAGACCCGAAACCCGGUGAUCUAGCCAUGGGCAGGUUGAAGGUUGGGUAACACUAACUGGAGGACCGAACCGACUAAUGUUGAAAAAUUAGCGGAUGACCUGUGGCUGGGGGUGAAAGGCCAAUCAAACCGGGAGAUAGCUGGUUCUCCCCGAAAGCUAUUUAGGUAGCGCCUCGUGAAUUCAUCUCCGGGGGUAGAGCACUGUUUCGGCUAGGGGGCCAUCCCGGCUUACCAACCCGAUGCAAACUGCGAAUACCGGAGAAUGUUAUCACGGGAGACACACGGCGGGUGCUAACGUCCGUCGUGAAGAGGGAAACAACCCAGACCGCCAGCUAAGGUCCCAAAGUCAUGGUUAAGUGGGAAACGAUGUGGGAAGGCCCAGACAGCCAGGAUGUUGGCUUAGAAGCAGCCAUCAUUUAAAGAAAGCGUAAUAGCUCACUGGUCGAGUCGGCCUGCGCGGAAGAUGUAACGGGGCUAAACCAUGCACCGAAGCUGCGGCAGCGACACUAUGUGUUGUUGGGUAGGGGAGCGUUCUGUAAGCCUGUGAAGGUGGCCUGUGAGGGUUGCUGGAGGUAUCAGAAGUGCGAAUGCUGACAUAAGUAACGAUAAAGCGGGUGAAAAGCCCGCUCGCCGGAAGACCAAGGGUUCCUGUCCAACGUUAAUCGGGGCAGGGUGAGUCGACCCCUAAGGCGAGGCCGAAAGGCGUAGUCGAUGGGAAACGGGUUAAUAUUCCCGUACUUGGUGUUACUGCGAAGGGGGGACGGAGAAGGCUAUGUUGGCCGGGCGACGGUUGUCCCGGUUUAAGCGUGUAGGUGUGUGUUCCAGGUAAAUCCGGUUCACUUUAACACUGAGGCGUGAUGACGAGGCACUACGGUGCUGAAGCAACAAAUGCCCUGCUUCCAGGAAAAGCCUCUAAGCAUCAGGUAACAUCAAAUCGUACCCCAAACCGACACAGGUGGUCAGGUAGAGAAUACCAAGGCGCUUGAGAGAACUCGGGUGAAGGAACUAGGCAAAAUGGUGCCGUAACUUCGGGAGAAGGCACGCUGACAUGUAGGUGAAGUGAUUUACUCAUGGAGCUGAAGUCAGUCGAAGAUACCAGCUGGCUGCAACUGUUUAUUAAAAACACAGCACUGUGCAAACACGAAAGUGGACGUAUACGGUGUGACGCCUGCCCGGUGCCGGAAGGUUAAUUGAUGGGGUCAGCGCAAGCGAAGCUCCUGAUCGAAGCCCCGGUAAACGGCGGCCGUAACUAUAACGGUCCUAAGGUAGCGAAAUUCCUUGUCGGGUAAGUUCCGACCUGCACGAAUGGCGUAAUGAUGGCCAGGCUGUCUCCACCCGAGACUCAGUGAAAUUGAACUCGCUGUGAAGAUGCAGUGUACCCGCGGCAAGACGGAAAGACCCCGUGAACCUUUACUAUAGCUUGACACUGAACAUUGAGCCUUGAUGUGUAGGAUAGGUGGGAGGCUUUGAAGUGUGGACGCCAGUCUGCAUGGAGCCGACCUUGAAAUACCACCCUUUAAUGUUUGAUGUUCUAACGUGGACCCGUGAUCCGGGUUGCGGACAGUGUCUGGUGGGUAGUUUGACUGGGGCGGUCUCCUCCUAAAGAGUAACGGAGGAGCACGAAGGUUGGCUAAUCCUGGUCGGACAUCAGGAGGUUAGUGCAAUGGCAUAAGCCAGCUUGACUGCGAGCGUGACGGCGCGAGCAGGUGCGAAAGCAGGUCAUAGUGAUCCGGUGGUUCUGAAUGGAAGGGCCAUCGCUCAACGGAUAAAAGGUACUCCGGGGAUAACAGGCUGAUACCGCCCAAGAGUUCAUAUCGACGGCGGUGUUUGGCACCUCGAUGUCGGCUCAUCACAUCCUGGGGCUGAAGUAGGUCCCAAGGGUAUGGCUGUUCGCCAUUUAAAGUGGUACGCGAGCUGGGUUUAGAACGUCGUGAGACAGUUCGGUCCCUAUCUGCCGUGGGCGCUGGAGAACUGAGGGGGGCUGCUCCUAGUACGAGAGGACCGGAGUGGACGCAUCACUGGUGUUCGGGUUGUCAUGCCAAUGGCACUGCCCGGUAGCUAAAUGCGGAAGAGAUAAGUGCUGAAAGCAUCUAAGCACGAAACUUGCCCCGAGAUGAGUUCUCCCUGAGACUUUAGGUCUCCUGAAGGAACGUUGAAGACGACGACGUUGAUAGGCCGGGUGUGUAAGCGCAGCGAUGCGUUGAGCUAACCGGUACUAAUGAACCGUGAGGCUUAACCUU